Non-coding RNA from Guyanagaster necrorhizus, 95 nucleotides. NCBI's taxonomy places the organism in Eukaryota, Fungi, Basidiomycota, Agaricomycetes, Agaricales, Physalacriaceae. The record is from the annotation of a RefSeq genome assembly.
GUGCCCGUGGCUGAGUUGGUCACAGCAUCGGACUGUUAUCCCUUCAGUCUCAGUCCGCAAUGAGAAGGCCGAGAAUUCGAACCUCUCUGGGGGCA